CCGCUAGAAAACUAAAAAGAACCUUUGUACUUUGCUUUAAUCAUUUAAGGCUUUUUACCCUUUCAUCCAAUGUCCAGAUUUGCAGCCUUCUAGUCUCAAGAUAUUCAAAUUAUACGGUAGAUGAGGCAGGUUGGGGUACAAAUUUUUGUUUGGCUUUUAUGGAAGCAUUACCAAUUAUACUUUCCUGGUAAUACAAGAAAACAGUGAACAAGAUGGUUCCACCGAACAACCGAAUGAAAAAUGUCCUAUGCUUCAAUUCCUUUUCAUCUAAUUGUAUUAUAAUCGAUUAAUUUUUCUGUGCUUUAACCGGCAUGGAUUAGGAAACUUGUAUUGGUUCUCUUUUUUUAUCAUGUGAUGAUUUUAUGAAUUAAAUCCAAUAUGUAACAUCAUUAUUGAUGUACAUAGUCUUACCCCUACAGGCAAAAUGAAUGUUUUCGCAACUCGAACCCUGGUAAUUUUUAUCACAAACCUUAUAAGGUUUUAACCAUGGUAACAACUGUUCACAUGCAGAGGUGAUGAUACCUACAUUAGUCCACCUGAGAGCUGCAUUGGUGGGAGCCUUAUGCACUAGUCUGCAAUUUUUCAGAUUAACGUGUCUUAGUGUUGAAUGAAUUGACAAUGUUUGCUCUUAGUGACUAGGGCAUAUACUUUCAAAUUUUGCUUACUGAUAGGAACCCUUUACAACAGUACCAUUUGUUACAUUCCAUAGUCCAGACUUGGCCUCUUGGAUUUGUCACAUAAAUCGCCUACUUUUUUCUCAUGUAGAAGAUUGAUUGGCUUGACUCUGUCCUUAAGAAAAGGAUUGUAGUGUUGUUUCCUGAGUGCAGCAUUCCUAUCUCUCUUGCUGAUUUUACUAACAGCAGACACUAAUGUAUAUUUGUCAUAAUACAUAUAAUUUUUAGGGGUAAGUCUGCCUCGUCUACUGGGCCACCCUUGUUUUAACUGAAUCGUCCUUGAUAUCUGUGGAUAAUUAGACUGAAUAACUCCAUAAACUAAACUGUUCAGAUCUGAUUACUUUAUUCUCCUUCGAGACCAAAGGCUCCACAAGUUCACAUCAUCUACACAAACAAACAUAUUCUAUCCCUAAAUCUUAAUAAUGAGAAUUUAGUUGUGUCCUGAUUAGUUAGUUUUUCAAAAUGUGGUUCAGCACUCAGGUCCACUGGAGAAAACCUUUAAAUGAUUCUAAGAGUCCUAUCACAACGGCAACCUGUUUAUCCAUUUAAAAACGCAAGUAGUAUGUUUCUUUUCAUGAUUUUGAUGCUUUAUAUGCAAUGUGAUAUGGAUACAUCUGAGUUCCGUCAUUUAAAAUAUUUUCUUCAAGUUAGGUUUGUUCUUUUGGUCACCAUAUCCUUUGAUUUCUCGCCAUCCAUCAUAUGUUUUCUCAUUUUCUUUCUUUGGCUUUUCUUCUUUUUUGAUUGUUUUGAUCUGUUUGUUGCUCGGGAUCUUGAAAAGGUUUUAUCAUAAUUGUUGUCUCCAUAAAUUCUGACUUUAUAAGGGUUGGACCUCAAUAAAAGUGGAAAAGAACAUGGACCAAUAGGUGAAACUUGCUAUAACAUGGAGCUGAUUGGUCAGCAUUUUCAUGGUAUUUAUGCAUAUAUCUAUGAUGGUGAUAUCAACUUGCUAACCGUGCAUGUCAGAUUAACCUCCACAGCCAAUCUGGAUGACAUCAUAGCCAACUGAACAUACCUCUGGUGAAUGCAACCGUAAAAUUGAAUCUUAUAUUUCAAAAUUCAUUUCUGAUGCUAAAAUAUUCUUGAUUAAGAAAAAAUAAAAUCUAUAACUUAAUUUAAUGAAGUGCACAUAUGUAAUUCAUGCCACGAAGUAAAACCAAUUUAUGCUAAAUAUUUGCUAUACCAUAAAACUAAAUUAUACUGAGUGAUCUAUAAGCCAGACAUAUUACAGUUAGACAACAGAAUAAUGAAGCAAAACAAAUUAGGGUAAGUAUGUCGUUGCUCAAAGUAAAUAAGAGAAUUAUUCUUUUGACAGUCAACAUUUAUGGUAUUUCCAGUUAUGAUUGUCCUGCAUUAGGAUGCUGUCCUACAUAAUCAAUUUAGUUUAUAUUUGUUGCCUAGUUGCAUUUCACAUAUUUAUACUUAUUGUAUUUAAUUUAUACAUGUUUGUUUCUUCGAGCUAGCAGAGUAGAUGGGAAGGCUGCUUCGGUGGAAUGUUUUCCUGGUUUGGAUCUCAGAAAAGGAAGAAACGAAUUGUUCCAGCAUCCCGUACUCCAGAUGGGAAUGCAUCAACUACUCGUGCCAAUGGGCUUCAAGCUGCUGGAAUUUCUAAUGAAAAUACAACAGUGAACUUAUCAGUUCUUGCCCCUCCUUCAUCUCCGGCAUCUUUUAUAAACUCUGCACUUCCCUCGACAGCCCAAUCACCCAAUUGUUUCUUGUCAAUAUCAGCCAAUUCUCCUGGAGGACCGUCAUCGGCCAUGUUUGCACCUGGACCGUAUGCUCAUGAAACUCAGCUGGUCUCACCUCCUGUUUUCUCUACUUUUACAACUGAGCCAUCAACUGCUCCACUAACCCCUCCACCCGAGCUUGCUCACCUUACAACUCCCUCGUCACCAGACGUGCCUUUUGCAAGGUUUCUGUCAUCAUCUCUGGAUAUUAGAAGUUCUGGGAAAGAGAAUGGACUGCCUUAUUCGCCAUCCAGCUAUGGGGUUGGUAGCGAUCUCCAGGUCACUUAUCCACUUUAUCCUGGAAGUCCUUCGAGCAGCCUUAUAUCACCAGCCUCAGGAACUCCAAGAACCGGGCUAUCUUCACCUUUUCCUGAACGGGAUAUUCCCAUGCAGUGGGAUGCUUCUGCAUCUGCACGUGACUCUCCCUGUUUCAGGAAUGGGUCAUCCAAGCUGUUUGGACUUGAUUCAGCUACAACCAGAAAUUUCAUAUUGUGUCCUGAUUCCAGCUUCUUUUAUCCUGCAACAUCUGCACAGUUUCAUUUGGACCAGGCACAGCAAUCAUUUCCCCAUGCUGGAGGGAGGCUUAGUAUUUCCAGGGAAGCUGAUGGAUACUCCAUUGGCGGCAACAGACAUAACAAAACAUGCAAACAAGAUGUGGAAGAGAUUGAAGCCUAUAGAGCAUCAUUUGGAUUCAGUGCAGAUGAAAUCAUCACAACGCAGAACCAUGUGGAGCUACCUGAUCCACUUGAUGAGUCCUUCACCAUGUCUCCAUUUGCAAAUAAUAAAACUGGAAAGGAGCAGUGCCCCAUUACUGAGUUAGAUGAUAAAGGUAAAAAGCUACCCAAUUUGCUGGAUACUAUGGGCCCGAAGCAACCAACUUCUGAUUGCAAGUCUAACCAGAACAAUAUACAUGCAGGUAAUGACAAUUUCAUUGGAGUCGAUAUUCUAGUGCAUUUAUAUCAAACCAUCAUGCUAGGCUUUCCUAAUAGCUGCUGUUGUCAAGACCAUCUCGACAUCAGAUGUGUUCAGAAUCACACAUCUUCUGCAUCAUUUUCUUUUGAGUUCCUGUUCUAAAUGUCAUGAGCGCUGCUCAUCUUUUAUGCUGUCCAGCUCCAAAACACAACUGUUGGUCUGCAGAUUACCCUCCGUUACUUAAUGUUGGGGCAGAGAAGGUCGACUCGAGGACCUCAGACGACCAGGUUCGCAAGCGAGCUCAUCCGGGCCAAUCAUUCUCAGAUGCAGAAAUUGAUUACCGAAGGGCGAGAAGUUUGAGAGAAGCUAAUACACUGCUGGCCUGGCGGAAUUAGCUGCAAUAACUCAACUACUGAAGUGGUCAUCUCUUCUAGUUAGGAAGAUGAUCAAAACUUCUAAGCUAUGAAAUGUUGGGCUAGCAAGUGUUGAUGUAUAUUUUGCUACUGACUACUACUUCCUGAAAGUGCAGGAAGAUGGUGAUGGAUGAAUUCUAUUUCUGAUUCCAUUACUGUAGCCAAAUCUUCUUCUGUGAGGAAGACAUUAGCCGAGUCUCUAAAUGUUGUAUAGAACUACUGCCAUCUUGUGUGCUAUGUAUGUACCUUAUGAUGUGUUAGCUGUAAAAUUUGCUGCUCAUAAUGAUAAUGUAGCCGUUUUUCCCGUGUAAGAUAAUUACUCAAGUAGCUUGAAUUUUUUGGACAAUUUAUGCACAAAAAAAAAAUCUCUGGUGAGGAUGACAAAUAUGUGUUUGAUAUUUCAGGUUUAUUAUAUGGUUUUGUGUCAAACUCGAUCUAAUCUAUAUCUUAUUUGAUCUUAUUUUUCUUCUUUAUUCUUUCAGCCUCUCCUCCGUCUCUCCCUCCAGAGGAAAGUAGCACUAACAGCGUUUUCAAGCAUAUUUAAGUAAAAGUAGCUGAUUUAAUGGAAAAUUAUCCAACAAGGAAAUAGCCAUCGUUUCUUCUUCUCGUCAAGGAAGGCAAAACAAAAAGCUGAGAUGAAUCUAACACAGACCAACAUUACUUCCCUCAAUAAAUCCAAAAGACAGAUGAUAUAAGUAAACAUGAUAGCGGCUCCUACAUAAGAGGGAAAAAAAGAAACUACUCGAAUAGCAGCAGGAAUUUGCCAACAUCCUCGAUCUGCAGUUGUUACUUGAGAGGGAUGAACCUGGAGGAGUGCGUGGCACCGAUACCAGGCCUUCCAUGCUUCACAGGCUUAUAUGAGAUAGAGAACUCCGCCAAGUAAUGACCGAUCAUCUCAGGCUGUAGUCACAAAGACAAUGGAACGGAAUGGAAUUAGCAAUUAUCCGAAACCAUAUCCCAUCAUCAGUUCCACUAUACCUAUGUUGGUAUGUACAUGUAACAAGCUCGGCUCAACCAUUUUAAAGGUCAUUUAUAGUUCAAGGCAUAAAAUUGGCCUAUUUUAGCAGCUUCAAUUGGACAUUUAUUACUGUAAUAAACCAUAUUAAGAAGCUUCACGAUACAGUUACCCUUGCCAUGGUAAAGAUUACAUUCAAAAGAUUAAGUGAAAGCAGAGAAAUGAAUAUACGAAACGAUCCAUAAAUUUGUUAUUAUAUUUUUAAGAACCAAGUCUAUGUGAAAUAACAUGCCAAUCUACCUGCUUCAAUUGGCUGUUAAAAAGAAAACAUGAUAAACCUAGCACGAUCCCAGCUGGAAAAGGAAAAGUUAAGAUGUAAAAAUUACCUUGAUUUCAACCUGGUUAAAAGUUUUUCCGUUAUAAACACCGAUGAUGCUUCCAAUCAUCUCGGGGACUAUUAUCAUAUUCCUAAGGUGGGUCCUCACAGGUUCAGGCUUUUCACCAGGCGGGGCAUCACGCUUCUGCAAGUUUUCAAAAUCAUAACAAAUAAGAGAACAUGUAUUAGCUAAGAAACAGAUGAUACAAGAUACAAGUAAAAUGAAAACAUGCAAAAAAGGAAGGAUUAACAAUAAAAUUUCCUAUUUGCAUAAGUUAGCAAAAAUGAAUGACGGACUAGGUCAAUUUGGUUAGCACAAGAAACAGAAAGCGGCAGGGAACCUCAUACAGAACAUUUCAUGGUGAGUAGCAUACGAUUAUUUGCGACUUCAAGAUUCGUUGUAUCCAUGAACCAGUUUCUUAAUCAGUGCUUUGUAGGUCUACAGCUUACAGGGGAAGAAUUGAAUAAUAUACAUCAAAACUUAUUAGUCUAAGCAUGGGCAAAUUCAUAUGUAGCUUCACAUAUCUGUAUCAAACACUCUUCUCAGAAAUUUCAGAAUAUGGAUUACGAUACAGAUUAAGCAUCAUUCAUAUCCAAAUAAUCAGAUAAACUCCAAGUAUUGGAGAAGCAUUUAGUAUAAGUAUUAGGCCUCAUCACAUUGUGUGGACCUGAGCAACUUGGGUAUGCAUAUGUCUAAACGCAAAAAUUUAUAGGUGAUAGGGGAUUGUGACACAUGGAUGGCUGCCCACACCUCAUUGCCACUUGGCCAAUAAAUCACUAUUACAUGGCCGACAUGUCAAGAUCACUUGGCUAACACCUCCAAUCCUAUUCAGCCAACGUGUCACGUGGGAUCAAAGUCCACACGACUGACAGCAUUGCAUCUAUGGGAGCCGACUCAACAAGUUGUUACUUCACAAGUCAUUACUUUGCAAUUCCCGAGUUCGACACACGACUACACGACCUCACUUAUGGCAAAUGAUGAACGUAAUCGUACCUGGCAUUUAACCACGACCUCCAAUUUAACGAUCUCAUAAUGCAUUUUAAAAAGGUCUCAUGUACACUUUCAAUCAUCUAACUCACCCAAAUACAAUUAGACUCACAUAGAUUCGACACUUGACCGAAUCCUACGAAUGGGAACCGAGAUAAACAUCAAAGGGCCCUUGUCAAGCACGACUUUGACAUAGUUUUGCAGGGCCUUCGCUCGGACUCUUCCCUCGCCCGACACCACUUCGUCCUGAGACAAACGCAAAAAAGACCUCGAUCGACUCUGAAUCAGCACUACAUAAGACAACCAGAAUCUAAUUUAACAAUAGGUAUAUCUAAUGCACAUAUCCAUCUUCUUAGGCUACCAUCAAAACCACAUUAAAACACUUUUCUCUAAUUCGAUCCUCGAUCAAGAAUUCACUAUAUCAUAUUUAUUAUUCUAUCUUCUCUAGAAACUCGAACUCAAUCAAGAAUUCACUAUAUUUGUGUGCUAUUAUCUGCUAACAUUUUAAUAUGUCUAUGAAGUCCAUCAAGUCUAACAGAUGUUUCAUAAAAUGAAUCAUCAAAAGAGUUCACUAUGCCCAGCAAUCGUAAGUCACCAAGGUUGCCCCACAAAAUGAAAAUAGCAUUAUCUUUUUCAACUUCCCUUUCUACUGAACAAUAGAUCUAAUAUAUCAAAACAUUAACUUUCAGGGAUUUGUUGCCCAUCAAAAUUGUGUAUCCUAUAAUAUCUUUAUCUACUUAAUCGUUCAUGAAAACAAAUGGAUAUAAAUACUAUUUUUUUAAUCCAAUCCAUGCCAUUCAGUUGCAUCAACAACGCCUGCAGCCAAACCCCCAAAAGCCAUGAGUGAGAAACCUUCGUGGUUCUUUUAGCUACAUGGCAUAAGAUGAAUCUAUCCAACGAAUCACUCAUAAUCCUUCCCAGUCCCACCAAUCCUCCUAUUAGUUCAAUAUUGCAGAGAACUUCUUGCAUAAAAUCUACAAAAAUACUUCCAGAAACAAAACAACAGUGACCAAAUGUGUUCUUCCUCUCCUUUUAUGUUCCAAACACAAAAGAAAAAAAAAAAGGAACGGAUAACAACAAGAAGUUAGCUACUCGUCAAUUCAACGUUAUUGUUGUGUACAUAGCAAAACAGUUACUGGAAGGGGAACAUAUAGCAGACGACCAAUGACAAGGAAAAUAGAAUUGAAACAGGAGAUUCAUCGACAUCUGUUCAAGCAUAAAAGAGAAGAGCAUCGUACCGCCUUGCGAAGCUUCUUAAUCAGAGCCAUGGGCUUCCUCUUCAGCCCCCUCUGGAACCUGCAUGCGUCCAUGCCACGCCACAAGAAGGUCGUCAAAGAGAACGAGACCUAAUGGUGGCUACAAUAGUGAAAGAGAAGAAGAAUGGAGGAGACAAAAAGAUCCAAACCUUCUGCGAGCACGAGCAUCGAAAAGCUUGACGAGCUCGUCGAGGCCCAUGUCGAGGAGCUGGUCGAGAUCGACGCCACGGUAGGAGAACUUCCUAAAGGUCCUCUUCUUCGGCUGCGCCCCUCCGACAUCCACCGCGUCCGAAGCGUCCGCCUGUUCAUCCCCCACAGCACAGCAAAAAGAUCGAAUCAAAAUACAAGGACGAGAUCGACCGUCACGGAAUUGUCAGUAUCAACUAUACAAACCGAACGAGAACUAAGUAACAGGAGCGAAACCAACCAUUCUCCUCUCUCGGCUGCGAAUGGGCUCAGGGAUUGUGGUGGUCGGCGGCAGACCAAUGCGGGAGACGCCGACACAAUUAGGGUUCUUAGUUGUGAUGGCGGACGCCGUUUUCUUUAGGGAGCGGUUUCUAAAAAGAUGGGUGCUUAUUUUACUAUAUUGCCCCUCAUUCUCUUGUAUGGUUGCGUUAUGAUUUCCUUCAUAACGUAAGGGUAAAAUGGUAUUUUUAUGACCCUAAAAAAAGGCUUUUUUCUUGCUUCAAAUAUAAAUAUAAUAUUUUUAUUUAUUUUUCAUAUAUUUAAAAAAAUAUUUAGAUACAAUGUAUAAAUAGUGUAAAUAGAUAGAUUCACCAUAUGAAUGGAUCUAUAGAAAAUUAAAAAAAAAAAUAUUUUAAAUAUAAAAAAAUUAUUUAGAGGCGCUUAAAAAAAAUAAAAAAAGAAAAAAAUUUGUUUUCUAAAACUCGCCAUGUUUGUUUGCACCAAUCAUCAUUAAUAAGAAGACUAGUUUAGUUAAACAAGAUUAAAUAGAAAAAGACUUCCAUUAAGUUUUCUCAUUUGAGAUUGGCUUGUAAACAAACAUUAGAUCUCGUCAAUCUAUUCGGUGCACGCAUUCCGGGAGACGGAAAUGGGACAUCAUUUCGGGUUUACGGCCGGUUAGAUUCUGUGAUCAUGAUGUUGGAUAAUGGUUUGUGCUGAUGCCGAUGCUUCAUUUCUCAGGCGUGCGUCAGCCCUUUCUGCAUCCUUUGAGAAUGCACACAGCACGAGGAGAACACGCAUUAUGGGACGCACAGGCUAUGAUUCGUCGUCUGCAGAAAGCAGAGAUUUAUACGCCGGCAACCAAACAAUCCAUGCGUCUUGUCUUGGAAACAGCGUUAUCCCAUGCAUGCAUGCCUGCCUGCGUCGUCGUCUUUCUCUGACGGCGUUAAAGGGUUUCGGCACCUCCGUGCUUUUACGAACUCCGAUCUCCUGCAUGCGUACAGAGAGUGAUCAUGAAUGGUUGGUGAAUGCCAUGGCCCAGCUGAAACCUGCUGACGAGAGUCAACGAUGACGCACAGAAUUACCAGCUUUGAUGAUAAGACAAGUCAAUAGGCCUACAGACAUCAACAUGUAGACAUAGGUCUCAAUUAUCUAACAUAUCUUUGACUGAGACUUACAGAAUACGCAGAUUGUAGAUGGUCUCUAACUUCUCACAAGAAAGAUGCUCAGCUGCUGCCCGGUGCAGCCCACCGGAUUGAUCAUAUGAAACGACUCCGAAUUGAUCGAACCGAUCACCCUCUCAAAGCUUGCCCUCAGGUACAGAAUGUCUCCUUCACCCAUCUUGGACGCACCAGGAAGAACGCCUGUUCCGACCGAUAUGGCCCUCAUUAGCUUCAAGAUGGCGGCGUCGCCUUCGCUCAUCCGACGCCGGAUGGCGAACCCCACUUUGCGCCCGUUGCAGUAAACCGACCACACCGGCACGCCGAACAGCGACGAGCACCGAGCACGAUUCCGGUCGCAUUCGAGCGCCACGCGCAGUAGCCCAUGCCGCAUCUCCCUGGCGAGGCAGGCGGUGGGGAUGGUGAACUCCAGCAGAAGGAUGGGGGAGGUCCGGGAGCUGUCGUGCAGGCAGAACCUGACGUGACCGCGGCGGUGCCCAUAGAAGGUGCCGGUGACGGUGGUGGUUGGGGGGGUGGAACCGCCGCCGGUGGAAUGAGAGUCUGGAACAUCAGAAGUGUUGGACGACAGCUGGAAGCCACAGCAUGGAACCACGCACUCGAUGAGGCUUCGGAAAGAUCGCCGGAAGCGGACGUCCUUGGUGCAGUCGACGGCAGUUGCCGUGUCGAUGAUGUAGAGAGAGUCUCUCUGGCUCCCCAAGUCUAUCAUAGUCCUCAUCUGUAUAUUUCUAAUACAACACAGUAUCCAAGAGUGAGAGACGAGAGUAUGUCUAUGGGAAGACGAGGCAUAGAGGAGUGUUUAAAUAGGGAUGAGAGAGGCGAGUGUGGGGUAAAAGGGCGAAGGAGAUGAGGGAAGGGUGGAAUAAUUGUGUCCACGAGAGCGGGUUUAAUGGAGGAUCAUUCGACGUGCCUUUCGUUGGGCAACGCGCGCAUGCUUGUUGCGUUUGAUCAAGAAGGACAUGAGAGAAAGCUUAGUCGAAUUGAUGUGGCGACGAAGUCAUGAUUAGUCGUCUUAUGCAGGCUUCUUAUGAGCAACUUCGACAAGAAGAGAACAUGGAGAUAGGAUGACAGGAGCACAUAAAGAAGGUCUCUCUCUCUCUCUCAUCAACUGGACCGACGUGUGUGAUGACCUCACGCUUUAUCGAAGUAGAAAGUAGGCGAAUACAAGGACAGCAACAAAGAAAGAGAUCAUAAAAGAAAGAGUAGCACUCGCAGGGAAAGCAGCCACGCAAAGAAGAUACGAGGGAUGAGAUGCAGACGUCGCCAACCAAGUCAGGAUAAGCCCCAGUGAGUCAUUACACAAUGUGUCAUCAGAUGUUGCUUGGAAAAAGGUAUCGUGGUAUCUCUCUCUGUCUGUCAACCUGUCUGCACUCCCAUCUCUGCACAGCUUCAACAAGUUAUAACGUCGCCAGCACGUCUAUGAUACAAUUCCUCUUUCCUCCCCAAGUUAUUACAAACACAUGGUGGGCUUCUCGUGUUGUCUUUUCCAUAGAUUUAAAAAGGAAAGAUACCACAAAAAGGCAGAACCAUAAUACAAUAAUCAACAAUUAUAGCCAAGGGAUUCUUCUAAGUACAGGCAAAGUUAGUACCCAGAGUUUUCUUCGUCUACUUUGGCAGCUUGAGGGAACCACCAUUCUCCCACCCAACUCCGAUCUGCGUCCUGGUACCUGCUUUCUCAAGGGCCUCGCUAGUGAAAAGGUUUUCUUGACCAAACCACUCAUCCCAAGCUUGUCUUGCCUGCCAUCAGCCACUUCUCCAUAUUAUGUUACAAGGUGCCAGUGUCAAAACCAAGGCAACACUACUUUCAGUGUCUUCAUAUCUGAAUCACCUAUACUUCAGUUGCACCAUGACUAAUCAACUGAAACUAUCUGGGGCCAAAGUCUAGAUUCUCCCAUUUGAACGGCUCAAUAGAACCAAUCUGUGGUGCGCCCCGGAAAAAUACACAGACACAGACACAAACUGCGGCGAUUGCGAGCAAUGAAUGGACGUAAGGGCGUUGAAGCAGUCCCUUGGAUCGAGCAUUUCGUCUGAGCCGUGCAGUCCCCACCAAAGCACAUUGUGCACAAGAUCUUAGUUGUGAAUUUUGAGCACCAUGCCUGUUUGAUCCUCCUACCCAUGAUCCAUCUAUGGAUAUUUCUCCGCCUUCAACUAGUAUGGUGACCUGGUCAUUCGCCCUGUCAGCAAGCUUUCUCUCCACCAGUCUGUUAUACGAAAGAUUGUUCCUCAACAUAGCAUACAUGAAGGGGGACUGAUCAUUGUCAUCCAGUAAUGAGUUCCAGCACUUCAACCCAAUCUAGAAAUUAGAGACACAAGUUAGCAAUAGUAUUCCUCUAAAGGUUCAAAAAUAAAUUAGUUAGUAUAAUGAUGACUUGAUGUGGUUUUAUUUAAGUUUUUAGAUGAAUAGUUCCAAAACCACAUCAUUUUAACAUUAUACCCAUAUUCAUUAGUUCAUUUUGUGGAAGGUACACGUUAUUGUAGUUAAAGAAUAUAAGUGCAGAGAUAUCUGGCUAAAUAACAAAAAGGUAGAAUUAGCUUUACCUCCUGUGGAUCAUUAGUGAGUGCAUCAACCAUGUCCUCUGAGUCUUGCAUAGAUGCAGCCAUAUGCAGUGGGGUGAUUCCACCAGGACCAGACAUGUUGGGGGUAAAAAGAUACACCUUUGUCACAUCUUGUCCAUGGCUUACGCAAUAAUGAAGAAGCAAAUCUACCAUUUUCCUGCACUUUCUCUUAACUGCUCUGUUCAAGAGUUCAACUUCUGAAAGCAUUUUCAGUGACUCUUGCUUUAUAGUAUCAUUCCUUAAGCUUCUUUCCACAAGAAUAUCCAGAAGCGUUUUAAUAAGAGCACACCAAUCUCGCUCAACUGAAAAUGUGAGGAGGUACUUCAACCGUGUGCUGGAAAAAUCAGCAAACAGAGGGCUGCAUGACGCUUGUGUCCUCUGAAACAGCCAACCAAGUUCAUUUAGGAAGUGCAAAGCAUCUUCCCUUGACCUGGGUCGCACACUGUUAUGAACCUCUUCCUCUGGGAUGGCAUCUGGUGUUUGAACAUCUUCCUCAAAGUCAGAUUCAAGAGCUCUCAAUUCCUGGCAGAUACUAUCAUCAGCGAUAAUAACAGGAAAGCUGUUCCCCUUGAAACCAUUUUCCACCUGGCCACAAAAUUCAAAACUAAGUUGAGAACAAGGGCUUACCAUUCACAUCUAUAUGGGAAGUGGUAAAGUCAUGCUUGUAUCUAAACUGGACUAAAGUGAAGGUGAAUCACCUCAAUAAAAAAGCGACCAUAGACAUUUGGAGAUCCUCCAAGAAAGUCAAACCUUUCCACACAGGAAUCAUCGUAUAUGGUGCCAGGAUAUGCUGAGCAAAGAACUUCUUUUGACAUGUAUUUACCCAUGUAAGUGCAGUGGAUCCUACAUGAAUACAACUAAUUUAUGAGUAACACUGAUUGGGUAGCAAAAGCAGUUGUUUGGAUAAAUUAAGUAUUGUGAUGCUCCACUCACUUGGUGCCCGGAACGGUCAAAUUGCGACCCUUUAGUGCAAGGGAAGUUUCCUGCCCACCUACCACAGCAACAGGUGAUACACACAUCAACUCUGGAGCACUCCAUGCCCUCCAAGUUUUAGACAAUCUGAUCUUACCUGUAGCAGAUAACAAUUUCAUAGUUAUAUAUUAAAAAAAAAAUCUAAUUAUGAUGAUCUGAUUUCAGUGCCUCAACAAACAUAAGUUUGAUGAGAAUCCAAAUAAUUGAAACAAAAAAAGGGAAAUGAUGGCUUCAUAAAAAUUGAUAUCAGAAACCAUACCAUCCUUAUGUGACACCAGCUGUCUAUUUGUACGAAUUAAAAAUCUCCCACUUCUCCAAAACUCAGUUUCAGAGUCUUGAACUAAAGAAGUGACACGCUGAAGAAGAUUGUCUUCAAGCUGCAAAACCGACAUAUAUUUUUAAAAUAUAAAAAUACCUAAACAAAAAAAAGUGUAUAAAUAAAUAAGCCACUCACUGCAUUCCAUGCAAUAGAUGGCAUCGAUAAAUAGAUUGAUAGGACCACACAACCAGGCCGAAUAUAGCUCUCCAUCUCUGAUGGGCUAUUUGAAAGCCAAUUCAAUACCUGCAAUAGCAGAAAAUAUGAGGAUUUAGUUGAGUAUUCAAAGAAAGAAUGUUCAAGGGAGACAAUAUGUAACAGCAUUUUGCAGUACCUGAGCACGAAGAGUCUCAGGAAAACUGCCUGGAUCCUUGCCAAAGAGCUUGAAAAUAAUCCGUCCAGUCCGAUCCUGUUCAACCAUGCGAGUGCAAAUGAGCAAAUAAGAUGGGCAAUAGCUUUAUAAAGAAGAAAAGGUGAAUUUAUAUGUUACCUGAGUAUCAGAAUUUGAACUAGAAGGGGAGUGGUCUGAGCCAGAAGAUUUGUAGCCUACUCGAUAUGGUAGAUUCUGAAUUGUCCCAUUCACAACUCGUGUUUCUGACUCCUUGAAGAGCACAAGCGGUGCAAUCCCACCGUGACUGGAGCUUAAAUCAACAGUUGCUUUGUCUUCCUGGCAUUCUGAUGCUUGUGAGUAUUUCACCAUAUCCAUUGUUGAGUGUAGAGGGAAUAGCUUCUUUGUAACAGGGGGAGAAGAUGAAGGAGACCUCUCUUCCAUAGGGUUGCUACUUUCUGAGGACAGAUAUUUAGUUGCGGAUCCCAGUUCUGGAGGACUGUCAUUAUCAGCAGGACCAAAAAGCUGGAGAGGUAAAUUUUUCCGGGCUUGCUCAACCGUCUGCUGAGGUACAUCUACCCGAGAUUGACUGAUGCAGUUAUUGCUCAGACGUCCAACAUAAGAACAGACAUUAGUUGAGUUACUGUGACUGGAGGGUUCAACAUUUUGUAGCUUGUUCUUAUCAUUGCCACUACUUUCACUGCUCCCUUGUGAAAGAGAUGUGGCGGCGUCAGGAGUAGAUGCAGCUAGAGCUGCAGAGAGAACUGCCAACAGGUUCAUUUUGGAAGGUGAAUUUUCAUCCCCAUUUGCCUUUGGUGACUGCCCAAAGGAAGCUUGUGCUGGGACUUGAGAUACAUUCAAAUCAAAACCUUCAGGUACGGAUGAUCUUGCGGAAGGGUUUGCAUUAUUUGACGCACUUAGCUUACUAAUAAGUUGAACAAGACAAUCUCUAUCAGGCAGAGGAUGGAUGCUGGUUGGUUUAACUUGAUUGUUACCUGUCAUCAUAGUACCAAAAAAUUAAGCAAGAAACUCACAGCAUAUCAGGAUUACCAAUCCUAUAAGCAACAUGGCAUACCUUGCAAGUGUGCUAGCAUCGCAAACAAGUUAACUAUAUCCAAACUCCCAUUUGUCAUAUUCUGUUGGUUUCUAGGAAGCAGUAGUCUAGAAGAAGCAUCCUCUGGUUGUGUCUUCCUUCUGCGUCGAUUAUGCCCUGCGAGCCUCCUCCUACAGCUUCUCUUCCCCUCAUCAAACUCUGAAAGCGGAUGAAAUCUGAAUCACACAAUGCCAUGGAUCAGAAGCAUGCAAAAUUUGACAAGCCAGGAGAUGGUAAAUUCAACAGCUUGGAAGACAGAUCCAGAACUCUGUGCGAACCAAAGAGUGCAGAUCACGAAAAUGUUAUAAAAGCCAAAUACAUAAAAGAGCAAACAAACUGGAAAUUUUAAUUUUUUUACAAUCAUAUGAAUCCUGUUAAAGAAAAUUAUCAGCUGUCGUAAUAACAAGCCCAGAAGAAAGAUCAGUUGAAUCACAGAGUGAUCUUUCAUCAAUCUGCAAGGGUCUUUUCUAGAUUUAUUGGAUUCCGUAGGAAGUUUAUAACAGGUGAAAAUCUAUAACAAGAAAUCAAAGAAAGAACAUCCGACCUGAACGUACAAACGUAUAGCUCAAACAAUAACUGGCAAGAACACAUGUUGGGACGGAUCUGGAUUACCUGCUGCACUGCUGACAGAAUCUCUGCAUCUGCUUACCGACAAGUGCCUUGGCAGUCUUACUGUGCAUCUCGCACACCUUGUGCCGCCUGUGAUAAUCCUUGGCGCUCGACAGAUCCGCCCGGCAAUCAUCCACUUGACACAUCGGGUAGUUGCAGCCGCUCCCUGGCGAGCCGGACCUCACCCUCUUGCUAGGCCUCGUCGUCGGCUCAUCCGCCGAGUACGCUCGGCCUCCUAGCUUCAGCGCUAGGUUCUGGUCAUCCUCUUCCAAGUUCCUGCCCAAAACCGAAUCUUUGGGUCCCCCGUCCCCUUUAUCGGCCACGGCAGCGGCCGCAGAAGCCGGCUGGGAACCCAGGGAGAGGAUCUCCGACGCAGCGGAGGAGGGCUUCGCCACGAACCUCUCGCUGUCCCAAUCCCACAUCUUGGGGUUCCAAUUACCGCUCGGGUCCGGGAGUGAAGCGCCCAUCAGCCGCUGCCUGCUGUCCUGCUGCUGGUUGUGCUGGAAGCUGGGGUUAUUCUUCCACGGGAAAUCCCGCUUCUUUAGGAGCAGCGGGGUCUCAUGAAAAGGUCCAGGGAGGGCCUGACGGUGGUGAAAAAAGAUGGGCGGGGCGACCUGCGCACCCACCUCUCCCUCCAUCUUCAGCGACCAAAUCAAACUUAAAUCCCCCCUCGAUCGCCACCAGAGAAAGAGAACCAACCUUCUGUUCAGGCGACAGCGGCACCUCCCCUGAUCCAACACUCGAUCAGAUUCCAACCUGAAGGCCUCCAAGGAAACCCCCAAAAUCCAUCAACAAAACAUCCCCCCCCAGAAAAAAAAGUUCUGGAAACAAAAGAAUUCAGAAAACAAAAGUCAAAAUCCAAUUUACCGAAUACUAGAUCUUCUCCUCCAUAAUUUCCAGAUCUCACCUCCGUCGCCAAAACCACCAGCGCAACCUCCCACAAACAAAACAAAAAGAAAAGCACUCGGGGAAGCGGAUCGGAGGGAGGAGGAGAUCUAGGGGAAGAACCGAUCGACGUAAGAAGGCAGCAAGAUCUUCGUCACUCGGCGUGGAACUCUCUUCUUCCUCCUCUCUAUCUCUUCCCACAGCGUCUCAUUUCCUUUCGCUACUCUAUUAUUCUUUUUCGGCUGGCGUCUCUUCUCUCGUCUCAUCUCGUCGCUUCUCACCUCUUUGGCUUCUAUCUUGUUCGGCACCCACCCACACGGCGUGGCAGAGUCGGUAAAUUGACACGGAGGCGAGGGCCUUUCCUUGAAGCCCUUAGAAAAGUGCGCAGUGGCGAGAAAAGAGAAGCCCACCACCGUUCCUUGCGUGUCCAUUAUUUUGGUGCGGCGCUGCGGGAGUACGUCUUUUACCCAUUUGCCUCGUCAGUACGUCUCUCUUCCCUUUGCUCCGCGCGUACGACUAUUGUACUAAUCCUAUCAUUAUCACUAUCAUUAUCAUUAUUAUUAUUAUUAUUAGUAUUAUUAAAUAUUUUAAAAAUUAUGAUAUAUAUAAUUUUUUGUCUCUAUAAAUUUUUGUUAUUUGAUGUAUUAUUCAAAUCAUCUGAAUGCGUACGCUUUAAAUUUCGUCCCGGGAAUUAUGCGGUAAGCAAACAUGCAAUUGUUUGAUGUGAAAGCAUGUGACUUCCAUAUACUUCUACGAAUGGAUGAGAUGAGUUGAACGACGUCUUCCCACAGUAAACGAUCCGUAACGUCGACCCCUUAUCACCGACUCAACGUUGAAAGAAUGGAACGUAACAUUACGCAUAUGUUUCUGUGUCACUCUCAUGAGACUUUCUUUUCCGUGUCGUAUGCCAACUUUGUUUAUAUUCCGAUGAUCUCAGCAUGCCAAUAUUUUUUUUAUUUAAAUAAUUCUUAAUUAAUUCAAAUAUAUAUCUGAUAGUGAUCCUUUAUACCUUGGCAGAAUGAGCUGGCACGGCUUGAUUCAGUCUCGGGUACGUAGGAUCAUCCACGUCGAUCUUCGGUCGACGAGGAUCAUAGUCUAGCGAGGUCGGGCUUGGCCUAUGGCUUUAAAGUCGAAAACUCCCUUGGGUUGAUUAUCUGUUUCUUGAUCUCCGGUCCCUGCACAUAUAGGUCAGGGUUGGAAAGAGGCUCCUGACUUUGACUCCUCCGAAGAUCUUGUUAAAACUGAGUGGCAAAUCCCCCUUCUGGUCGACCCCACGAGGGGUUUUUGUAUUCUCUCUCUCGGGGAUAAGUCGUACCUAUCAUAUUUAUUAUCAUCGACGUUGUACUUGGUCGGUGUCAUCUCGGCCCACGUAGGAUGGCGUUGUACUCGGUCGGCGCCAUCCCGACCCUCGCGGGACGGUGCGGUACUCGUUUGGCACCGUCUCGACCUUUGCGGGAUGGUACUGUACUUGGUUAGCUGCCCGACCUUUACGAAAUUAGCGUUGAUCGAAUGUACAAUCCGUCGUGUUAUCCUUGAUACUGAUGUGACUGACAAUAAUGAUCGGAGGAUAGGUUCUAAGAUAUGCCCUAUCAAUAUCAUAUGAUAAUAUCUGAAAUAAUUUAAUCUAGUUUCUCUUUUAUGUUUCUAUUUUAGCUUAUAAGAAAAUGAUUAUAUUAUAUUAAAAAUAAUUAAAGAAUUGAUCAAUGAGAUGAGAUAUUUUCUUAAUAGUUAUGGUCAUAUUCCACAUGACCAAUGGUCUGAGGAAGGUAGAGAAGAGGAACCUUCCUCUGCUCUAUCAAGUCAGUGUUGCCUUCACCCACAUCUCACAUGGGAGAGUCUUCCUACCAUCCACGACUUUCUUCGCAGUUUUAGGACACGAUUCAUGUCACGUAGACUCCAAGUCGGUAAGGGAUGAGAGAGGGAUGAGAGAGUGAUACCACGGACGCCCCCCAACCAUCGUGUCGUGUCUUCUGAAAGAGAUCGGGUACUCCGGAGCCGGCAUUUUCGUAAUUUUACGAUGGACGUAUAAAUAAAUGCGGUACUUCACCGCAAUUAUUGCGAGGGGGUUGGCUCGGGGAACGGCGACGUACGGCACUGCCGGCCCGCACCGAAAACAAAACGGACGAUCGGAUCACAGCCGUCCUUUUCGAUCGCGUCGUACCGUCGCCCGUGCCCGGUCGCGGUCAACGUCGAAUCACAUGCCCAUCCCCUUGAAAUAGAUAGUAAUAACGUCACCAUCACGCGCCGUACCCAUCCGCUCCACACUGCCUCACCGUUUGGUGGGCCCCGCGAAGACCCGUCACGAGCGGAGGCAAACCGGGGGCGGCUGGUCACGCCUCGGGUGCUCCCUCCCGUGGUCGGUCGGGGUGGUACGAUAAGGGCGUGGGCGAAAUGACGGGGGAGACCCCUUCCGCCCCUCCUCAGCCACCACGGGUGAAAAGUGGGCCCCGAUGCCGACCCGGUUUAUUUACCUCUUCUCUCUCCCCCCCCCCCCCACAUUUAUUGUGUUGCCUCGUCACGCUUUUCAUUAACGCCGGUUCGUACCACAAAAGAUAAUUAUUGCACGGACAUGUUUCCCCACGAUGGGUGUGUGUGUGUGGAAAUCUCAGCUACAUCCACGUGGGAGGUAAACCGUGAGGUGGGUACGUGACAAUGGAUGACACGAAAGCCACGAUGCAUCGCGAGAUGAAUUAUGUCCACCCUAAGUGGGCGGGGUUGUACGUGGUGGGGCCCGCGGUCAUCGGUCAUCACUGGGGAAUCUUCAAAUCUGGCUGGCCAAAUUAGGUUUGGGUACAAUUAUUUUUACCUGAUGGGUGUACUAAUUGCAGGUACGUACACAAGUUGCGUAUGCCAAGCUGGAAAGAGAUGGACGGAAUCCGACGCGUGCAGUCCAUUCAUAAUUUAAUUGAAUUUUAUUUUUGUUUUUUAUUUUAAAUAAAUAUCAAUUCGAGAUUGAUAUUUUGUUGUGUUUAGACGGAGAAAUGUUAAUGUGAUGUACACCAUUAGUAAGGGUAAGUGACGAAGUAAGAGCAGUGAACAGCUGAAGUACGUAGAGGAGCCAUGGUUGCAAUGAUUUGGAUAGUGGCCAACAUGGGUGCGGUCAAAGCAAUGGUUCCAUAAGUUGGGUGUUGGGGACGAGCUUUUAGAUGUAAGGAGUCACAUCACAGACACAACAUUACUUCUACUCUCGCCGGUGGAAUCUACCCACCGAUGAAUGGAGUGCGCUUAGUCAACGCCACCAUCACAUGAUGCAUGAUUUCCUCUGCCAAUCCCUAAUUUGUGCGUCUGCAAAUGCGAAAUUCAAAAUUCUAAGAAAAACACGCAAUGCUCACAAGUUAUCAUUCGUAUAUACACUAGCAUGAGAUCAUAUUUACUUAUAAAAUAUGAUCUAGAGUGAAUAAUCACUCAAUAAAUAUAAAUCUCUGUAGUUUUAUUUAGGUGAACAUAUAUAAUAUUUUAAAAUCAUCAACAAAAAUAUAUUACGGUAAACAUCUUAUCCUAUGACUUCUUUGGCAAGUGUAACCAUACAACAUAGUAUAUGUAAAAUUCUAUGUCAAAAUAAUUCAAAAGAUAUAUUUGCAUAUAUAGAAAACGUAGCAAAUCUAUGGAUUUCUAUUCCUCGUAUCAUAACAAAUAUAUGCACUCCUAUGUCGUACAUCAUCGUAAUAUAUACGUGUAUUCCAACAUCGCAUAUCAUAAUAUAUACGUACACUCUCAUAUUACACGUGAUAGCAUAUACGUGCGUUGCACGUCGUAACAUAUAUGUGUGCUCUCACACUAUAUGUCAUAGAAAAUAUAUAUAUUCAUACAUCACACGUCAUCAUAUAUAUAUAUAUAUAAGAUAUUUUUAUUAUAAUUCAUAUAUUUUUAUAUUUAUAAAAAAUAAUUAUAUUUAAUUAAUACCUAUUUUACACCGAUAGGAGUUGAAAAUGGUGCCAAGGGCACCCAAUGAACAUGCCUGGGUUGAAAUGAAUGGUCAGCAAUACUCAUCAAGCCACAAUGGUGCUUUUGUCCUCGCAAAGAUGAAGGAAACAACCGAUGCUUAUCCCUGCCUACUUUAAUAAUGCGCACCGCCAGGCAACAAAGGAUGCAGGCAGAAUUGCUGGGCUUGAAGUCCGAGGAUUACCAAUGAGCCCACUGCUCUGCUGCUGCCCUUUCAUAUGGAACGAACAACACGGGUGGUGGUACUUUUGAUGUCUCCGUCCUGGAAAUCUCUAAUGGAGUGUUCGAGGUUUGUUCUUGAAAUGCUCCUCUUACUCAUAUUCCUCGUCUUUUUCAUCAUCAUAAUGUGAUCUUUCAGGUCAAGUCCACCAAUGGCGACACAUUCCUUGGUGGCGAAGACAAACUGGCUCUGCAAAGGCUAUGGGAAGCAGCCGAGAAAGCGAAAGUGGAACCUUCAUCAACCAUGCAAACAGAGAUAAAACCUUCCUUUUAUCACUGCUGAUGCUUCGGGAGAGCAAAGCACUUCAAUACUACAGUGAGUCUCUCGUUAAUCAUCUUAUUGAGAGAACCCGCAUCCCAUGCAGCAAUUGCCUGAAAGAUGCAAAGAAGUUGAUGAAGUGCUUUUGGUUGGUGGAAGGAAUGACGAGGGUACCGAAGGUCCAAGAGGGUGUGAAUCCAGAUGAGGAUGUUGCAUCCAAGGUUGGCAUCCUGAGAGAUGAUGUGAAGGAGCUUCUCUUGCUUGAUUGACGAUGAGGAAGGUCUUCUCGUCUUCCAAGUUACGUAAGAAUUUUUAUACUUAUAAAAGUAAAAUAUUUAAUUUUAUUUCUUCUCAUAACAUCAAUAGUAUCGAUGAAAAUAUCGUACGUAUUAAGUGGUAAAUCGAACAAAGUCAAUACGUACUCAGUAGUAAAUCCUAUGAUAUCUUCGUAUAUUUUUGUUAGUAAAAUCGACGACGUAAGAAAAAAUAAAAUUAAAUAUUUUACUUUCAUAAGUAUAAAAAUCUCAAGAUAAUUUUUAAAAAUAUAUAAAUUAAAAUAUUAAAAAUAACUAAUUAGAAAGAUAAUAUAUAAUUAAUCCUAAUCUUUUGAUUAAAUACUUCAAUAAAUAUAAUAUUUUUCUCUUUGAUUUGAAUUGAAAUUAUUCGAUAGUUUGAGAGAUUUUUGUUGAGACAUUAGUUUCGAUUCUUCUUAUUUGAUAUAAUAAAAUUUUUAAAAAUAUUUUAAUUUUUUUAUAAAAAAAUCAUCUUUAUUCCUUAGAACUUCAUAAAAUUUGUAUAUUUAUUUAUGAUUUUUGACAUGCCUAUUUUAUGUAGCGUGAGUGUUUAUGGUUUGUUAAUUGGUUAACGUUUUUUCGUUCUAUGAUUUCGAUCAUUCGAAUUGGGAGGAAAGAGAAAACGGGAGGAUCCCGACAUAUUUGAUCGAGGCCGAUAGGCGACUGAUUGAUCCAGUGACCGUUCCGUCCACCGAUGAAGGCUUCCAUCAAGCUCCGGGAGGAUCGGCCGCCCUUGGUGCGCGCCAAGGUCCCCGUCGGCGUCCUCGGCCUACCCUUCAUCUCCGGCGUCACCGCCGCCGCCCGCGAGCUCCGCCUUGACCUCGCCACUGGCUUCCGCGCCGGCCCCUCCCUCCGCCUCUCCUACCGCCCUAACGACGCCCUCAACCCCUUCUCCCUUGUCAUCAAGACCGGCGUCGGCGACCUCGGCUCCCCAUCCUCCGGUUCCCCACUCUCCAUGGCCGUCGAGUUGGGCCUCCUCGGUGGUUCCUGCCCCACCUUCUCCCUCCUCCUCAAGCCCCGGCUCGGAGAUUUCUCUUUCCGGAAGUCCGUCUCCGCUGUCGUAUCGGGCACCCCCCAUGCCGUGGCUGUCAAGGUCGCGCAAGUUAGCGACGGUCACGGGAUCGGGCCGCCGAUCGUGGAGUUCCGCCCGGAUAACGCGAUCCACCUAGGGAGAAGGUUCGGUAACUUCCCCGUCGACGUCUCCGCCUUCACCGCGGGCAGCGGAGGGGGGAUCGAUGGGCUCCUCUCCGGGUUCGAGGUCAGCGCCAGGAGCGUCCUACCGCUUCGCAACCGCACGGCCGUCGAGUUCAAGUGGGGGCUGAGAGUUCCGCCGGAGCUCCGCACGGCAUUUGAUGAUCCAGCGGCCGGGAUCUGUCUGACCGAGCUGCCGUGCCUCGUGAUGAGUAAAAUCUCCAUCGAACGGUUGCCAUACGACAGAAAGGCGAAGGAGAAGAGGCCUGCUGGAAGCGCUGACGCGACAGAUUCGUGUGCGUCAGUGAGGCGCGAGGUGGAAGCGCUGCAGGCUCAGAGCGCCCUGCUUAGUAGCUCCGUUGAGGGGCUCCGGGCAGACAUCGGCGGCUGGAAGCUUGCUCCGGUAUUUUCACCGGUGGCGUGGAAGAGGGAACAAAGGAGUAACGGGAAGUUGUUUGAGGGCAGGACUGAAUAGCCAAUGCAGCCUCAUCUCCAUGAACAUGGCAAACUGAGGAAGGCGCUGAAGGUUUGCUUCUUAUCUUUGUAAGUUGGUGAUGAAGCUGCAGAAAACAAAUGUCUGAUAGCUAAUAUGAUCUGAUUGCUUUGACAUACUCGUGGUAGAAGCUUCUGUCAUGGAAUGUUUCUGAGAACAAGAUCCAAGAACAUGGCAAUCUAAGGAUGGCGCUGAAGGUUUGCUACUUAUAUUUAUAUUUUGGUGAUGAAGCUACAAAAUAUAUCUGAUAGAUAAUAUGGUAUGAUUGCUUUGGCAUAAUUGUGGUGGAAACUUGGAAUGCUUUAGCAUUUUGAUCCAUGUUUAUUUUCAAUGAAUCUUGUUAUGGUUGCAAAUAGCUGCAUCACUUUGGUAUAUUUGGGAUGCAUCAAAAAUGAGAAUUUGCUUGAUGCAGGCAACCUAUUCAUUCAAAUAUCUGUCUUGUAAUGUUAGGAUGUUGAAUGCUGCUUAUACAUGUCUAUGAUUCUUCUACUUGCAUAUGAUGCUAUGCGUAAUGACAGUCUUUGAAGUGAACAUAAGACGCCCUAAAGAUUCCCGAUGGGGAGAGGAGGGGCCCCUUUCGGGUCCCAUUGUCUCGUCACCCACCUGCUACAGCUGCCAUUCGCUAAGGUGGCGCGCGUGCCGCACGCGAGGAGGGCGUCCGCAUCUCUGCCACGUGUUCCGCUGGCCACCGGCCCAAAAAGAACACCACCUUCGCGUAUGAUACGGAGAGCUGACGUGAUGAACCGAAAUAGAGAACCUGUUGGGGAAGGUGGUUCGUCGUGAGCGAUCUGGCCUUGGGGAGCCCUUCGUAUGGCGGAGUUGUGUUAGAGUUGGGUCAUUCUUACUAUUGAGUCGCCUCUUGAUUGUGUCUCCAAAUAGUGUUAGGAAUCGUACACAACAAAUCUAUGUCGGAAUAUUAUGUCUUAACCCCUCCGAUACUUAAGUCAGAGAUACAGAAAAAGAGGUUAACAAUGUAAGUGAGAAAGUGAAGAGUUCUUGCUCGUUUGUCCAACAUGGUUUGGGACUUGACUUUUAUACUUGGGUAUUAAGCGGUCUGAACGUGCACUCGCCAAGGCUCCCUUACCCUGUAUGGUGAAGGCAUUAAUGAGAGCAGCUUGCUGGCAUGUGUCCUCUGGUGCUUGGGGUGGUUUGUUGGGGGACACUUCUAGGCUGACUUUCUUGUUGUUUUGGGUUAAGCAGGGAGUGAUUCCAUCAUCGACUAUUGGCAAUAUAAGGCUAGUAAAUUCGGACCAUAUUGUUAGUCAUUAAUGUGGAGGCAUGACUUCUACUGAUGUAUCAGUCAGGAGUGGCUCGUGUGGGUCCAUUCUUGGAAGGUGGGGUAGGUGACAUGACCUCUUGCUGGUGGCUAUAGGGAGUAGGUAGUUCUCGAGCUUUUUGCUUAGGUAUUGCUUAUGUGGCGAGGGGAGCUGAGGAGUGUCAAGAUUAUUCCUAUUAUUCGUCCCCCUAGAAAGGCAUUCUUCGGAGCUUUGAAUUAAGGUCUUGAAGGACGUAACUUUUUCUACAUUCUUGCAUAGUGAAGUGAUCAUUGGUUAGCUUCAGGUUCAUUGUUGGCACCGUGGUGAUUAGUACAAGGCUCAUUUAUGGUGGGUUAUGCUUUGCUAGGCUGUUCUUUGCUUAGACGGGUGUUGACUUAAGGGACAUCUCUCUCUUUUCCUCCUUUUCUUUUCCUCUUUCUCCAUCUUCGUUCUCCCCCUUAUACUUCGGGAGGUUUUCUUCUUCGUUUCUAACUCCCACUUUCGCACGGGAGGUUGAGUCUCCAUCACGUGAAUGGGAGGUUCAGUAUUAGUCUGUCGUAGUAGCUUCCAUGGCCUUAAUUCAACUACUGUGGGUAGGAGUAUUAGUAUUAAUCCAUCGUAGCAAUAUUGAUUCAACUGCCACAGUGAGAGUAUCGGUAUCAGUCCAUCAUAGCGGAUCUUGAUUCGAACAUCGUAGAGUUAUGUAUAUACUAUGUUGUAGAGUUAUGCUUGUUAAAUAAAUCAUAGGUUGAGAUAUUUACCAUUAAAUGUCUUAUAUCAAUAAUUUUAUAAUAUUAUAUACAUAAUAUAAUACAUGCUCACUUAUAUAAAGAUAUAAAGAUGUAUAAUUAUCGAGUAAUUACUUAAUAUAUAUCAUAUUUUAUUUAUAGGUAAAGAUAUUAGUAGUCCAACUAAGUGAUGGUAUAAACUCAUGUUAGUGUAGAUAUAGAUUAUGAUAUAGUAUAAAUUUAAAAUAUAUUAUGUUAAUAUAUAUAUUUUUUAGUUAGAGAUUAUAAUUAUGUCCGGAUAUCAAAACCUCUAUAUAAAUCUUAUCAUUAUAUUUAAUAAAUUAACACACAUGAUCGUAGGAGGGUCAAGAGCUCGGCCCGACGGAUAAGACGGGGCGAAGCUGCUCUAGGGCACGAUCACCAAGGAGCUCCGACGGCGCGGUAGGCGAACGACUGUGGCAGUACGGCACAGGCAAUGUCGUUGGCCUUGAACAACUCUCGGGCAUGGUCGACGGUAGAUACCACGACGCAGGGGGUGGAGCCCAGGUAGAGGAGCAGCAGGGGUCGACCGCUGGUUGAGCUUGGAGUGCUUGGUUGGUGGUUGGGCCGAGGGGGUGGAGGUGGCCAUUGAUGGCCUUGGAGAUGAUGUCGUGGAAGAUUUUGGAGGCAACGAAGACAGUAACGAGGAGGAGGAGAAUGAAGGCAUGGGAGCUGAAGACUUGCUCCAUUCUCGCAUGAAGCUGGACGCAAGCUUAAUUGGAACCGCAGUUGUUACUUCUUGAAGAGACAGCAAUGAACUGCAGGACAAGGAAAAAUCAUCAUCUUGCUUCAAGGCUUCGAGCAAUUUACCGAUUUGGCAUCGGUAAAAGAGUGAAGCCGAGAGGUCACAAGCGAUGCAACCAUUGGCCGCUGCACAGCUACAUCACGGCACUUCUGCAAAAGGUAGUCGACAUUUAAUAGGGGAAGAUGAAGGUAAAGGUUAAUUUGCAGAAACGCAAACCUCAAUCGUGUGCACGAUCUCACGGAUUGAAUUGAUUUGGCUCCUUUUUACCCCAUACAAUAUCUUCCAAAAACACCAAAACGAAGACACUAAGAAGAGCUUUGGAUGGUAAUGAUCCAAGCCGAACAAAUUAAAUCAAAUGACCUUUGACCCCAUAUGCGAGAUUGAUUCCACGAUGGCCGGCGUCCGGAUCGGACGCCACGCCAAGAACGAGAUAAGUUUGUCGUAGUUGUAGCGGGAAGCAUGAUCGAAGAGCGUUCCUCACGAGGAGAUCAACAAAGAGAUGAACCAGCAGCAGUGUCCCAGACCAUGUGGAUCUCCAUGGGCAGCAGAGUUGCUGGCUUUACCCAUCGCAUCGUGGUGAAACGAAAUGUUUCACUCACCGCAUCGACAGGAGAGUGCGUGUGGGCUUCUUCAUCUUCGCAUGCGGUUCCGGCGACCUCUUCAGGUUCCUCAGCACGAGCCUUUCCAUCUCUGCAAUGGUGCUUUGCAGCCUCUCCUCGAAUUCAGUAGGUCUCAUGUCUUCUGUCGAUGGAUCGGUUGAGACGGAAACCAGGCCGGAGGAAGGGCUUUGGAGCGAAUGUCCGAUUGGAGAAACAUACCAGGCAUCAGAAACAUCGGAUGAGAGGGCUUCACCGAGUGAUGUCUGAUCCGGCUCUUUCAUUUCACGGUUUCUGUUCCUCCGCUUGACCCUCGCUGCAGUCGCACGCAUCCUUCUCCUCUCCAAGGCCUAAGUACAGAACAAAGUUUAGGGCAUGUAUAACAUGGCAUUCAAGUGUUUAGGGCAAGAUCUCCUUACAUUGACGACCACCGUAACGUCACGGAGAGGUGUCCUAGGGUACCAACUCGGUAGAGGACUCUUCCUUCUCCCGACACGGCGUCGAGCUGUCACCACCAGUGACGGGGGGAUGUUCUCCUUGUCGUCGGUGGUGAACACCAAGCUCUGCUCACGCCUUGAUCUUGAUCGCACCACCGCGUCUGGGAAAGCUACCGUCCGGAUCCAGAACCCUUCCCCCGCGUCCACCAUGGUUCCCAAGCCCUGAUUCAUCCUCGUCUCUCCUCUUUUUUGUCGUCGCCUUCGACUUCGGAGAGAGCGUGAGGGAGACGGGAGAGGGAAUCGGCGGCCGGGGAGCGAGAUUGAAAGAGAGAGGGGGGAUCGACUUAAGUAGCGUUUUAGGGGACGGGGGCAGUGGUGACGGGACUCGGAACCGCCGGUCACCGCCGCUUCCAGUGCCGCCUAGUUUUGAAUUUUCAAAAUAGGAGGAGAGCGAGCGGUGACGACAUUUCGAAGGGGCGUUUGGCGGAUGUGCCGCAGGUUCAACUUAAUCAAGUUGUGCACCCCUACAUGCAUGAAGCUUUGGAUAUUUCAGCUUUUGUUAUUUAUCAGAAAAUCUAAAUUUCUUGGCCUGUGUUUAUUAAUCCCUCAAAUUAAUAUUCUAAAAACAUUUUGCUGAUGCUAUUAUUUGUUCACCAACAAUAUCAUCUUUAAGAAAUAUUUAUAUAUUUUUAUAUAAAAAUAUAAAAUUUUAUAUUAUCUUUUUUCUUCAAUAUCUUAUUUUGAGGUAUAAAGUUAAUUUGGAUUUGAUAUAUUUGGGGGUGGUAUACCAUACCUACUUACUAAAUAUUGAAGAUUCAAAAUCUAUUUCUGAGUCAAAAAUGAUGAAGUACUAGAUUCACUUAAAAAGAAUUUGAGGUUUAAAAUCUCAUCCGAUUUUUUUAAUAAAAAUAUCAUUCAAUUUUUUUUAUAUUUAUAAAAAAUUAUUCAAAAUAAUAUAUUUUAUAUAAUUAAAUGAAGUCAAAGUACAAUGGGAAUAAUAUAUUUUUAUUUAAUUAAAUGAAGUCAAAGUACAAUCUAAGAUUAACUCUGAAUCAUUAACAUCUCAAACAAUCAAAUUAUAUUUAAAAAUUAAAAAUAAUUAAUAUUUUAUUAUUAUUUUGGAAUAACUACUAAUAUAAAAUAUAUAUCAAAAUGAAUCAACACAAAGCAUUGGAACCUGUCAUUUAUGUAAUAAUAUACUAAUUAAUAUAAUAUAUUAGAUGAAAUCCUAUUCACAAUGGAACGGUCUCUAAUUAGGGCUGUUAAGUAUAUAUUAGGCUUCCUCAAUUGUCUCCCAUGCGACCUAUCCAAUCUCCACUGACGAAGCCCGUCACGCCGGCCGCAGAGCAAGGUCCUUCGCCGCCGUGACGAGGUCGGCCGCAUCGCGAUAGGGCUGCGAGGGGCGCCACGAGGUCAUAAUUUCAUUGUUGCUGUUGUGGUUGUUGUUUUGGCACCAUAUUGCUUUGUCGAUCAGUUGCUUGAUGAUCAUUGAACGUGUCUUUUUUUGUAUGUUAUUGAUAGUGAAACAUUCUAUCAUUCAAUUCGAUCCCGUUGAAGUGUUGAUGUCACUUUUGAGUGAUCGUUUGUAAUCAUUUGUGUGCGAGCAUUCGCGGAUAUGAUUCAAACCGCGGUGUCUGUUGGAAAAACAGAUGAAAAUGAGAGAUAGUUCAAAGAUGUAAUUUGAAUGUCAGGAGAUCCCAACCCCCAAUUGAGGUGCAGAAUUUGGGCUGCAGAUGAACUUAUUGCUGAUUUUUCAUAUGAUAUAUUAGGAUGACAUUAUGGGGCAAUCGUACGGUUGCAUGCAUAUAAAUAAUGGAAAGGCUGUCUAAUAGGCAGUACAGAAGCCACGAAUCUAGUCAAGAGAUGACAGUGUUCAACGAAAAAAUCUGAUUCAAGUGGAAUGCUAGUAAUUGAAUUUUCACAUGGUCAAUUGAUAUAUCAAUUUGUUCAAGCAAAUGGCAAGAGGAAGUUAGAUGGCGUACAAUAUUAGAAGCGUCCCCUAAGUUGUACCAAUCUGUAACUUGUGUCUCCUAAGUUGUAGGUAAAAGGGUUAGUUUAGGCUUCAGUCUUGUGGCUUAUGACACUAUAUUGGAAGAGAAUCCUUGAGAAAUUUCCUCUUUUUGUUAUUUUUGUGGAGCUGAACAUUAAUGCCAAUCAUGAUGAGAGGAUGGAUGCACAUAAACCUAAUAGGGGGAGUUUCAUCUGGUUGCUCAUUGUUUGUUCUACUAGUGGUCUUGAAGUUGAGCAUGGUAAAUUUGCUCUCACGCAUAAUAUGGCUAGGUUCUGGAUCCCAGUGUUGGGUUGCUUUAGGAUCUUAAAUUGACUCUUCUUUGGCAUGCUGAAGAAGUCCUUAACUAAAAUACUUCUUGCCUGAAUUGCAGAGAUCUGCAUCAUGUAUUGCAGGUUUGAGCUGUAUCUGAACACAGAUAGCUAAUCUCUUUGGGCCUAGUAUCUGAUCCAGCUUGAACUUUGCAUUCUGAACUUCCUAAUGCUUGUAUGAUAUCUUUAUUAGUAGCUUCUAAGAAAAGGUCAAUGGUAUAUUUUACAACUUACCGGAGCCUAAUUGUGAAACCAUUUUUGUUUUUGUGCACUAUAACAAAGUUCCUUGCAUUUCUAAGGUGGAUAUAUUUUAUUUAAUCACCAGUUUUUUUGAUCCAUUGCUAGGGUUUUGUGAUGAAUCUUAUCCUGUAGUUCACUUGGUGCCACUCUAACCCUUCCAUAUGUUAUUGUUCAAUUUCCUAAUUUUCGUAACCAUGUCCUGAUUUGCACUUAGAAAGAUGCAUCAGAAUGAAUUAAUUAAUUUAUGGUGUAUUUACAGAACAAAUAAUGUAAUCUUUUUAACUUCUCAUGUCUCUUUACUAAAUCCAUUGGACAGGAAUUCUCCUUACGAAUUUAGAGGUGGACACUAUAUAUAUUUUUUGAACAUUUCAGCAUGCUGCUUAUUUACCAUUCGUGGUGUAUGUAGGGUGUGCAAAUCUUUCCCUGCAAUUUUGAAAAAGAUAUACAUGCCAAUUAUAUCUGAUUCCAUCUCAGAAUCAAAGUUUAUGCAGACUGCCGAUUGUCCUUCAAAUCCGUGACUCAGCAAAGUUGCUGGAUCUUAUGCUUUCCUUUGGAUGCCAAUGGAGAUGGUACUGCUUUACAAAUUCAGUUAGUGAGCACCUGAAAUAGUUGAUGCUGGCAUGGAUGCCACGAGUGAUUGGGUUGACAAUGAGCACCGGGAGAGGCUCUUCAAUGCGUGGUAAAAACUUCCACUGGGAAUCAUGGAGCUCUUCAGAUAAUGUGCAUGUAGGUUUUGGUUUGAUAUAUAUUUUGCUUUAUGAAAUCUAUCAAGUAAAGGCUGCUCACCAUUUACAUUUGGCAUUCUGUUUGAGUGUUCUGGUCCCAGGCCAGCACCCAUGAAUUAUAGUUAUGGAAGAGAAGUACUACCACUUACCCACAAAAAAUAUUGCUAGCACUGCUUUCUGCUUGCCAGUUUUCUUCCACCUCGGAGAACAUUCUUCAGCUAGCAUUUUGAAUUGUGAUUUUAUCAGUAAAGAUGAACUUCGAUUUGUUAUACUUUCUCUUUUUCCCACUUAAUAAUCUAACACCAUUCCAAGUUCCUAAUUUUGAUCCUGAUGCCAAUUAAUCAAGGUUUGUAUCUUACUUUUGAAAGUUAAUGCCAGAAACCAUAGCAUCAAUAUCUGUUUGUCAUGCAUCAUCUCCCUUUUUCCCGAAAAGGACAUCUAGGUGAUUGAGAUUCUUUGUCAUAUUAUUUAUGUGACUCUUACAUGUUUGAUAAUUGUAGGGGUGUUGAUGCAUCGGAGAAGUUGACCUGGGCGUGUAUUCAGCCUGAAAUUUUCAGGUACCAUCUUCAUUUUCGGAUCCAAUUAUUUUAUCAGAUCUUAUUUUUUACCUGAUAAUGUGCCGAACCAACGUAUGGUGUGUGGAUCCUCAAUUUGGAUCUGUGAUCUGCAAACCUAUCAGAUUCAACUAAAAGAGCUAGGACUUAGGUGGAUCCGACCUGGUAAUGCCUCUCUGCAUUAUAUACAAUCAAUCAUGCUUUGCUAUUGUUUAUGUUGGUGUGAGGCCUGCGAAUCGGGGAAAUCACUGUGUAAAUUGACUUCAGAUACGAAAUCACAGGUUCAGUAGCUCAGGUUGACAGGUUCAUGUCACAAAUCAGCCAACAUUUGUGGCUUCCCUUGGUCCAAUGGCAAGCACCUACCCAUAAAAAUCCACUGCUAAGUUUAAUGUAUUGCAUCUGGGUGAGAGGUGGUGGUCAUUCUCCAGUUUCUGCUGCUUCGGAUUUAAUCCAGUGGGGCGAAUCCAUUAUUGUUUAAGGUGCAAUGCAUCUGUGAGGAGGACAUUUGAUUCUGCUGGCCGCUAUGCUCUCUCUUGUUGGAUCAACCUGUACAGGUCUUUGGCUGUAAACUUUUAAGAGGUGUUUUUGUUGCUCAAUACUCAUCAAUCGUCUUUUACUUGUUGCAGACAUUGAUGGAUGUGGCCCAAGUGCUCAUUUUGGCUUCCAACAUCAGGUAUCAGCUGGCAACUCAUAAUUCUAUUGCUCUACAUGUUACAUACUAGCAUUAAACAUAGUUUUUUGGAGUAUCAUCAAUCAUAUUUCUGCUGGGUUUUCCCAGUUUGGUAAGCAAGGAUCAAGGUGCAUCGUACAUGGGCGCUGCUUUGGAUCCCAGUAAUGUCGUCAAGAACAAUUCAUCUACCGAGGGAACGGUAAAUGGAUCAUUUACUGUCUCACAUGGGUUAUGCUCGUGGGGUGGUCCUCCAUGGGACCACCGAGCACUAAAUCCAAUGGGGAUCUGAGCUGCGGUAACUCUCUUUCUCUCUCUAGAUUUUGCAAUCUGCCACAGUACUACUGAAUCAGGGUGCCCACCAUCUCGACCGCAUCAAUUUCUACCUGGCCUCCAAAUCUAGAUCUAUGAUAGUACCAGUGAACCUGCAGAACGCAAUCCAUUUCCUUUCCUUGUGCCCUUUGAUCUCAGCUUGAUGAUUACCUUUGUGGAUGUGAAAUCAAAGCUCUCUCCAUCCAUCCAUCUUUCUGCGUCCAUAUUCCAUCGCUUUUUGUUCUCAUGUUGCUUUCUCGGCGCUUCCUACUUCCUCGUCUUCUUCCCAUCACCUUCUGCUGGAUUGAAAUCUUAUCCUCUCCCAUCAUCGCCCUAUUGUCUACAGCUGCGGAUGUUUUAGACCACCGGAUCCUUCCAAUACAUAAAGCUGACUUGACAUGAUUUCUGUUUCCAUUACAGCUCACAUGCAUAUGGUAACAAAAUUCAUUCAUAUUCUUGGAAAUGUCAUGAUCUAAAUUAAUUACAAGAAGUCAACUUUUCGUGGGAAGAAUGAUACAGCUAUUUGUUUCUUGCUAUUUUGUUGUUUAUCUAUUCUUUUACUUGGUGGGAAGUUGAUGGCCAUAACAAUCAAAACCACAAGACAGAGAAAGGAUCCCACAACCACCUCUGCUUGGCCCCCCCGCCUGCCGCCAUUUCUUUUUAAGGGUUGGUUGGGAGCAUUGAAUUAGGCAAAGCCAAGACAUGACAUGACGCGAGUACAUCAUCCAAACUGGGUGUGAUUUGACUCCGAUUCAAGACUAGCUUAGCUAAUUGUAGCAGGAAAACAUCGAUGCCCCACCCAUUUCAGCUGUCUGAGAUAUGCUCCUCUGAUCUUAGUGCCCUUUCAUGGCGUCAGCCGAGCAAAUAUAUAUGCUUUCAUUGUGUGUGGACAAGAGAUUAAAACAAGCAUAAACAUUUAGGAAACAAUGUUAAGUAUAUAGCUUAUUAGUCUGUGAUCACAUAGCUAUACAUUUCUUUCUUCUUUACAUCCUUAUCUGCUUCUUUCUGGCUCUGAGAUCUCCUCUUCCACUUGUGUCAGUAGGGCUUCUGCCUGCCAGCUGAACAGCUGCAGCUCGCCCGGCUUUCCGAUAGUGCCUUCAAAUAUAAAGUCCGUACAUGAAUAAACCAAGCAGCUCUAAUGUGAAUCUGCACACAAUCAAAAUAGUUCGGCGGUAGAAUUUAUACCUUCACCUGUUUCUGGAGAUCCUUGAUAUAAUCCACCGCCAAAUCUAGCAUGUCUGCUGUGUUGGUUUGCUGUCGAUUGUCCACAGCAAGUUAGACACUCGUUGUGACUACCUAUAAAUCUUAGUUUGUGUUAAUGUUG
Molecule: long non-coding RNA, 31976 nt
Filed under: Musa acuminata (dwarf banana)
Lineage: Eukaryota; Viridiplantae; Streptophyta; Magnoliopsida; Zingiberales; Musaceae
Description: long non-coding RNA (MACU_LNC002855)
Source: RNAcentral